RNAcentral lists this ribosomal RNA (789 nucleotides) under uncultured bacterium. RNAcentral's name for it is "bacterial SSU rRNA". It matches the Rfam family "Bacterial small subunit ribosomal RNA", at positions 31 to 802 of the family's 1533-position model. The record is from RNAcentral.
GAACGCUGGCGGCGUGCCUAAUACAUGCAAGUCGAGCGAACAGACGAGGAGCUUGCUCCUCUGACGUUAGCGGCGGACGGGUGAGUAACACGUGGAUAACCUACCUAUAAGACUGGGAUAACUUCGGGAAACCGGAGCUAAUACCGGAUAACAUGUUGAACCGCAUGGUUCAACAGUGAAAGACGGUUUUGCUGUCACUUAUAGAUGGAUCCGCGCCGCAUUAGCUAGUUGGUAAGGUAACGGCUUACCAAGGCAACGAUGCGUAGCCGACCUGAGAGGGUGAUCGGCCACACUGGAACUGAGACACGGUCCAGACUCCUACGGGAGGCAGCAGUAGGGAAUCUUCCGCAAUGGGCGAAAGCCUGACGGAGCAACGCCGCGUGAGUGAAGAAGGUCUUCGGAUCGUAAAACUCUGUUAUUAGGGAAGAACAAAUGUGUAAGUAACUAUGCACGUCUUGACGGUACCUAAUCAGAAAGCCACGGCUAACUACGUGCCAGCAGCCGCGGUAAUACGUAGGUGGCAAGCGUUAUCCGGAAUUAUUGGGCGUAAAGCGCGCGUAGGCGGUUUUUUAAGUCUGAUGUGAAAGCCCACGGCUCAACCGUGGAGGGUCAUUGGAAACUGGAAAACUUGAGUGCAGAAGAGGAAAGUGGAAUUCCAUGUGUAGCGGUGAAAUGCGCAGAGAUAUGGAGGAACACCAGUGGCGAAGGCGACUUUCUGGUCUGUAACUGACGCUGAUGUGCGAAAGCGUGGGGAUCAAACAGGAUUAGAUACCCUGGUAGUCCACGCCG